GGGUUGUGAGGUUAAGCGACUAAGCGUACACGGUGGAUGCCCUGGCAGUCAGAGGCGAUGAAGGACGUGCUAAUCUGCGAUAAGCGCCGGUAAGGUGAUAUGAACCGUUAUAACCGGCGAUUUCCGAAUGGGGAAACCCAGUGUGACUCGUCACACUAUCAUUAACUGAAUCCAUAGGUUAAUGAGGCGAACCGGGGGAACUGAAACAUCUAAGUACCCCGAGGAAAAGAAAUCAACCGAGAUUCCCCCAGUAGCGGCGAGCGAACGGGGAGGAGCCCAGAGCCUGAAUCAGCAUGUGUGUUAGUGGAAGCGUCUGGAAAGGCGCGCGAUACAGGGUGACAGCCCCGUACACAAAAGCGCAUGUGUUGUGAGCUCGAUGAGUAGGGCGGGACACGUGGUAUCCUGUCUGAAUAUGGGGGGACCAUCCUCCAAGGCUAAAUACUCCUGACUGACCGAUAGUGAACCAGUACCGUGAGGGAAAGGCGAAAAGAACCCCGGCGAGGGGAGUGAAAAAGAACCUGAAACCGUGUACGUACAAGCAGUGGGAGCCCCACCACUAAGCCAGUGGUGAACUCCACAUACGCAUCCUUUGCUGAAGGUGCGGUUAACGGAGCGCAAGCGACGUUCAACCUCAAAAGAAGCAGAGGGGGCUUAGUGGUGG
Molecule: ribosomal RNA, 661 nt
Filed under: Salmonella enterica
Lineage: Bacteria; Pseudomonadati; Pseudomonadota; Gammaproteobacteria; Enterobacterales; Enterobacteriaceae
Also listed under: 2 other names
Description: bacterial LSU rRNA
Rfam family: Bacterial large subunit ribosomal RNA
Source: RNAcentral